UUUUCUACCUGUUUCUGUGAAUGAUUUAUUAAAUGGGAACAAUCAAUACUUUUAAUGCAGAGAAAGAAUGGUGAGAUAUGAAUCUUUUACCUGCUCUUACCCAAACUGCUGUCGCCAGAUUCAUCUCUCUUCACAAGACGUCAGGAGUGUAACAUACAUACAAUGCAGUUCCUGUACCGUUUUGCGCGGGAAUCUAAGUUUGACAACCGUAUAUUACAACAGAAACCAAUCAAUAACAAGGUUAUACACCGAUCAGUGUUGUGGUGGUGAAAUGUUUGUUUACUUAGAUCAGAUACCAACAGAGAAACCCACAUUUAUUUAUGAUGUAGAGACCACUCGGGGCUUGAUUUCAACAGCAAUCAACAGAGAGGAACCUGCCCUCUGUACUGGAAAUACGGCCUUUCUUUUCAGUCUGACGAUAAACAUCCUACUUUCUGUCCUAUUACUUACUAUGUUUUAAGUUGCUUGGAGAAAAGCUCACAAACGGAGAAAAGCCCACAUUCGUGGCCCUAAAUACGUGACCGCUGGAGACGUGCAAAGACAAAGUGAUAGUGUAUAUGCACAGCUAGAUGUGCAUCUAGAAGAAACUGAUCCAGUAACUGAAUACGUAGAACCAGUAACCCCGACGAGAAACCAAAAUCAAAGACAUUCGAUAACCAGCGAAUAUCCUCAAUACUGUGAAGUUAUCACCUGACUUUUUUCAGCGAGAAGAAACCCUUUUCAACGAAACCUUUCUUAACGAAGCUUCAAAUUU
This is a long non-coding RNA of Saccostrea cuccullata (small rock oyster), 754 nucleotides long. RefSeq lists it as uncharacterized. NCBI's taxonomy places the organism in Eukaryota, Metazoa, Mollusca, Bivalvia, Ostreida, Ostreidae. The record is from RefSeq and is a predicted model, not a curated record. The transcript has 3 exons.